AACACAUGCAAGUCGAACGGUAACAGGAAGCAGCUUGCUGCUUCGCUGACGAGUGGCGGACGGGUGAGUAAUGUCUGGGAAACUGCCUGAUGGAGGGGGAUAACUACUGGAAACGGUAGCUAAUACCGCAUAACGUCGCAAGACCAAAGAGGGGGACCUUAGGGCCUCUUGCCAUCGGAUGUGCCCAGAUGGGAUUAGCUAGUAGGUGGGGUAACGGCUCACCUAGGCGACGAUCCCUAGCUGGUCUGAGAGGAUGACCAGCCACACUGGAACUGAGACACGGUCCAGACUCCUACGGGAGGCAGCAGUGGGGAAUAUUGCACAAUGGGCGCAAGCCUGAUGCAGCCAUGCCGCGUGUAUGAAGAAGGCCUUCGGGUUGUAAAGUACUUUCAGCGGGGAGGGAGGGAGUAAAGUUAAUACCUUUGCUCAUUGACGUUACCCGCAGAAGAAGCACCGGCUAACUCCGUGCCAGCAGCCGCGGUAAUACGGAGGGUGCAAGCGUUAAUCGGAAUUACUGGGCGUAAAGCGCACGCAGGCGGUUUGUUAAGUCAGAUGUGAAAUCCCCGGGCUCAACCUGGGAACUGCAUCUGAUACUGGCAAGCUUGAGUCUCGUAGAGGGGGGUAGAAUUCCAGGUGUAGCGGUGAAAUGCGUAGAUAUAUGGAAGAACACCAGUGGCGAAAGCGGCUCUCUGGU
This 694-nucleotide ribosomal RNA is filed under the name uncultured Escherichia sp. RNAcentral's name for it is "bacterial SSU rRNA". It matches the Rfam family "Bacterial small subunit ribosomal RNA", at positions 50 to 733 of the family's 1533-position model. Lineage: Bacteria; Pseudomonadati; Pseudomonadota; Gammaproteobacteria; Enterobacterales; Enterobacteriaceae. The record is from RNAcentral.